RNAcentral lists this ribosomal RNA (960 nucleotides) under Vibrio brasiliensis. RNAcentral's name for it is "bacterial SSU rRNA". It matches the Rfam family "Bacterial small subunit ribosomal RNA", at positions 469 to 1430 of the family's 1533-position model. The record is from RNAcentral. Lineage: Bacteria; Pseudomonadati; Pseudomonadota; Gammaproteobacteria; Vibrionales; Vibrionaceae.
UGGACGUUAGCUGCAGAAGAAGCACGGCCUAACUCCGUGCCAGCAGCCGCGGUAAUACGGAGGGUGCGAGCGUUAAUCGGAAUUACUGGGCGUAAAGCGCAUGCAGGUGGUUUGUUAAGUCAGAUGUGAAAGCCCGGGGCUCAACCUCGGAAUUGCAUUGAAACUGGCAGACUAGAGUACUGUAGAGGGGGGUAGAAUUUCAGGUGUAGCGGUGAAAUGCGUAGAGAUCUGAAGGAAUACCGGUGGCGAAGGCGGCCCCCUGGACAGAUACUGACAUUCAGAUGCGAAAGCGUGGGGAGCAAACAGGAUUAGAUACCCUGGUAGUCCACGCCGUAAACGAUGUCUACUUGGAGGUUGUGCCCUUGAGCCGUGGCUUUCGGAGCUAACGCGUUAAGUAGACCGCCUGGGGAGUACGGUCGCAAGAUUAAAACUCAAAUGAAUUGACGGGGGCCCGCCCAAGCGGUGGAGCAUGUGGUUUAAUUGGAUGCAACGCGAAGAACCUUACUUACUCUUGACAUCCAGAGAACUUUCCAGAGACGGUUUGGUGCCUUCGGGAAUUUUGAGACAGGUGCUGCAUGGCGGUCGUCAGCUCGUGUUGUGAAAUGUUGGGUUAAGUCCCGCAACGAGCGCAACCCUUAUCCUUGUUUGCCAGCACUUCGGGUGGGAACUCCAGGGAGACUGCCGGUGAUAAACCGGAGGAAGGUGGGGACGACGUCAAGUCAUCAUGGCCCUUACGAGUAGGGCUACACACGUGCUACAAUGGCGCAUACAGAGGGCGGCCAACUUGCGAAAGUGAGCGAAUCCCAAAAAGUGCGUCGUAGUCCGGAUCGGAGUCUGCAACUCGACUCCAUGAAGUCGGAAUCGCUAGUAAUCGUGGAUCAGAAUGCCACGGUGAAUACGUUCCCGGGCCUUGUACACACCGCCCGUCACACCAUGGGAGUGGGCUGCAAAAGAAGUGGG